AUUUUCUUAGUAUAAUAGUACAAAUGGCUUCCAACCAUUUAGCCCUGGCUACCCCCAGGAGAAAAUA
Molecule: transfer RNA, 67 nt
Filed under: Trichobatrachus robustus
Lineage: Eukaryota; Metazoa; Chordata; Amphibia; Anura; Arthroleptidae
Description: tRNA-Gly
Source: RNAcentral